GUAUAAUGUUUUAUAGGCACAAAGGCCAUUGAUUACAUUCUAUAACGUAGAAGUGGGUAUGUGUAGAAACAUAGGCCUGGAAAUGUAAGGAGAGACCGUCAAGUCAAUCCCCAUACCCGAGUGACUAGCAAUCAGAAAGGUAUCCAGGUCUACAAAAGAUGCACAGGUGGAGAAAAUAUAAAGACGACAAGCGUGCACAUGCUCCCUAGAGAACCAGCAACAACUUAUCAGAUUUAUUCAAUAAUGAUCCUUCCGCAGGUUCACCUACGGAAA
Molecule: unclassified non-coding RNA, 273 nt
Filed under: uncultured fungus
Lineage: Eukaryota; Fungi
Description: sequence contains ITS1
Source: RNAcentral